RNAcentral lists this ribosomal RNA (497 nucleotides) under uncultured bacterium. Its description in RNAcentral is "partial 16S ribosomal RNA". It matches the Rfam family "Bacterial small subunit ribosomal RNA", at positions 28 to 507 of the family's 1533-position model. The record is from RNAcentral.
GAUGAACGCUGGCGGCGUGCCUAAUACAUGCAAGUCGAGCGAACGGACGAGAAGCUUGCUUCUCUGAUGUUAGCGGCGGACGGGUGAGUAACACGUGGAUACCCUACCUAUAAGACUGGGAUAACUUCGGGAAACCGGCGCUAAUACCGGAUAAUAUUUUGAACCGCAUGGUUCAAAAGUGAAAGACGGUCUUGCUGUCACUUAUAGAUGGAUCCGCGCUGCAUUAGCUAGUUGGUAAGGUAACGGCUUACCAAGGCAACUAUGCAUAGCCGACCUGAGAGGGUGAUCGGCCACACUGGAACUGAGACACGGUCCAGGCUCCUACGGGAGGCAGCAGUAGGGAAUCGGCCGCAAUGGGCGAAAGCCUGACGGAGCAACGCCGCGUGAGUGAUGAAGGUCUUCGGAUCGUAAAACUCUGUUAUUAGGGAAGAACAUAUGUGUAAGUAACUGUGCACAUCUUGACGGUACCUAAUCAGAAAGCAACGGCUAACUACGUG